Molecule: ribosomal RNA, 459 nt
Filed under: uncultured bacterium
Lineage: Bacteria
Description: partial 16S ribosomal RNA
Rfam family: Bacterial small subunit ribosomal RNA
Source: RNAcentral
CCUACGGGUGGCAGCAGUGAGGAAUAUUGGUCAAUGGCCGGAAGGCUGAACCAGCCAAGCCGCGUGAAGGACGAAGGUGCCAAGCAUUGUAAACUUCUUUUGUCAAGGGACAAAAUCAGGCUCGAGAGCCUGACCGAGGGUACUUGAAGAAAAAGCAUCGGCUAACUCCGUGCCAGCAGCCGCGGUAAUACGGAGGAUGCGAGCGUUAUCCGGAUUUAUUGGGUUGAAAGGGUGCGUAGGCGGACUGUUAAGUCAGAGGUAAAAGCCUGGGGCUCAACCCCGCCGAGCCGUUGAAACUGGCGGUCUUGAGAUGUCGAGAGGUAUGCGGAAUGCGCGGUGUAGCGGUGAAAUGCUUAGAUAUUGCGCAGAACUCCGAUUGCGAAGGCAGCAUACCGGCGGCGAUCUGACGCUGAGGCACGAAAGCGUGGGUAUCGAACAGGAUUAGAUACCCGAGUAGUC